Molecule: long non-coding RNA, 545 nt
Organism: Sphaerodactylus townsendi
Lineage: Eukaryota; Metazoa; Chordata; Lepidosauria; Squamata; Sphaerodactylidae
Exons: 3
Source: RefSeq, a predicted model, not a curated record
UGCAGGAGAAGCGCUGCAAUUGGCAAACGCUUUUCUGCAUCAGCCAAACGACUCCUCCAGCCAGAAGAGGGCACUUGCAAAGAGAAAAAAAAAAUAUAUAUGUGCACAUUUGCAAGGUUUUUUUCCCCCCCCUGCAGUUGCAAAUUUGAACGUGGCGACAAACGGAGCCUUUUCCCUUCCGCUUCCUGCAUCCAGCCCGGAGCGGCUCUGCGCAAAGGUGAGCCGCUGCAAAAAGCGAGAGGUGGGCAUUGCAACCCCGGGGAUCUGGUGCAGCAUUUCCGGCUUCUUGUGCAAAACAAGGACAGGGAGCAUCCUGCUCUUUGCAAAGGAUGGAUUCGGGGCCGCAAACGGCGGAGGCUCCUGUGUGCAUUUAGGUCCCCCAUUUUGAAAUGUGGAUGCUGUUGUGUUAAGGGAGGUUUCUUGGCUGCCCAAAAGCUGGAGGCAAUGAUAUUACCGGCUUUCCUAUAAGGCUUUAACGGGAUCGAGACGGCUGGAUGAGAUCUCGGGCGUCCUCCCGACAACCUUGCGAGAUCAGCUAGAGCAGG